Molecule: ribosomal RNA, 206 nt
Filed under: uncultured bacterium
Lineage: Bacteria
Description: partial 16S ribosomal RNA
Rfam family: Bacterial small subunit ribosomal RNA
Source: RNAcentral
UGUGCAGGUGGGGUAAUAAGUCAGUGGUGAAAGCCCCCGACUCAAUCGGGGAACUGCCAUAGAUACUGUUAUUCUUGAGUGUGGUUGAGGUGGAUGGAAUAUGACAUGUAGCGGUGAAAUGCUUAGAUAUGUCAUAGAACACCGAUCGCGAAGGCAGUCCGCCAAACCAUUACUGACACUGAAACACGAAAGUGCGGGAUCAAACA